UGACCUCGGAUCAGGUAGGACUACCCGCUGAACUUAAGCAUAUCAAUAAGCGGAGGAAAAGAAACCAACAGGGAUUGCCCCAGUAACGGCGAGUGAAGCGGCAACAGCUCAGAUUUGGAAUCUGGCCCCUAGGGCCCGAGUUGUAAUCUGGAGAGGAUGUUUCUGGCGCGGCGCCUUCCGAGUUCCCUGGAACGGGACGCCGGAGAGGGUGAGAGCCCCGUACGGUUGGACGCCUAGCCUUUGUGAAACUCCUUCGACGAGUCGAGUAGUUUGGGAAUGCUGCUCAAAAUGGGAGGUAAAUUUCUUCUAAAGCUAAAUACCGGCCAGAGACCGAUAGCGCACAAGUAGAGUGAUCGAAAGAUGAAAAGCACUUUGAAAAGAGGGUCAAACAGUACGUGAAAUUGUUGAAAGGGAAGCGCCCGUGGCCAGACUUGUACCCCGCGGACCAUCCGGCGCCCUCAGCGCCGGUGCACUCCGUGGGGCGCAGGCCAGCAUCGGUUUUCCUAGGGGGAUAAAGGCGGCGGGAACGUAGCUCCCUCGGGAGUGUUAUAGCCCGCCGUGCCAUGCCCCUGGGGGGACCGAGGACCGCGCUUCGGCAAGGAUGCUGGCGUAAUGGCCACCGGCGACCCGU
This 631-nucleotide ribosomal RNA is filed under the name Leptographium piceaperdum. RNAcentral's name for it is "eukaryotic LSU rRNA". It matches the Rfam family "Eukaryotic large subunit ribosomal RNA", at positions 1 to 652 of the family's 3401-position model. The record is from RNAcentral. Lineage: Eukaryota; Fungi; Ascomycota; Sordariomycetes; Ophiostomatales; Ophiostomataceae.